Molecule: ribosomal RNA, 408 nt
Filed under: Triticum aestivum (bread wheat)
Lineage: Eukaryota; Viridiplantae; Streptophyta; Magnoliopsida; Poales; Poaceae
Description: partial small subunit ribosomal RNA
Source: RNAcentral
AUGGCAGCACCGCGCGGCACGAUAAAGCUCCAAUGCAACACCGGUGGGCACCCGGCGAAGCUCCAUUGCAGCACCGCGUGGAGACAAAGCUCCAACGCAGCAUCGACGGCUCUCGACGACGAGCGGCGCCCCCUCUGGCCUUCCUGUGCUCCUUUGCAGCACCGACGACGAGCGCCGCCCCCUCCUGCUUCCCCGUGCUGCGAUGCAACACCAGCGACAAGCGGUGCCCGCCUCCCCGUGAUGCGUUGUAGCAUCGACGACGAGCAGAGCGGCGCCGACUCCCCUUGCGUACUUCGUGUUGGGUCGCCCCGCCUCCGGCACCACCCCGCGGGCUGCGUAUGCCUCCCCCUUUGCAGCAGUGGUGCCGUUUCAACCGCCGGAUUGCAGCACCGCGACAAUGGCGCGUGA